Suricata suricatta (meerkat) is the source of this 828-nucleotide long non-coding RNA. RefSeq lists it as uncharacterized. The record is from RefSeq and is a predicted model, not a curated record. Lineage: Eukaryota; Metazoa; Chordata; Mammalia; Carnivora; Herpestidae. The transcript has 2 exons.
CUGGCCAUCUUCUGUCGUCAUCCAAAGAUCUGUCUUUCCUUCUAGACCGUCAACUGCGACAGGCUGUGGCUCCCAAGCACCUGUGAGGCCCCGCCCACUAACACAACUCCAGGCAGACGGCACAGAAUGUUAGACAACGAAGGACCAUGAGCCCAGGAAGAUGGGAAGCGAACAAGGGAGCCCUAGAAUCGCUAGGCUACGACAUAUAGAAGAGAACUGAAGUGGAGGGUGAUGUACCCCCCUGGUCAAGGAGAGCCCAAGGGGACCAAGGAAGGACAGGAUGCCGGACAGGGAAGAGCUACAUCAAGAGAACAUCCACCAAGGGGCACACGUGUGUGAGAAAAGUCCCCGAGGCUGGGGAACGAACGAUGUGAAACGAUUAGAGGGAAAUCAUGCUUAUAGACUGGAAAAACUCAUAAUUCAUGGGGCAUUGAGUAGAGUACGCAGGAAGGUCUGUGCAGUGAUACAUUUCGUUUUGUUUUAAAUAAAUCGAUAGCUGUUUAUGGUAACAAUUCAAGCGGUACAGAAGAGUUUAAGUGAAUGGCACACCGAAACAAACACGCUCCUAUGUAUGUCCGAGGAUAUUGGUCAUAGCUCCGUUUACAGUAGUGGAAAACAAGGAAAGCAAAUCCAUGCCCAUCAACGCUUAAUGGCAUAGAAAUCUGGCAUCUCCACAUCGCUGAAUAUUAGCCAUUGAAAAGGAAGAAGUAGGUCUAUACCAGCUGACUUGGAUUCCUUAAAGUAUUAAGUAGGAAAGACGUGUUGCUGAGAAAUAUAUACAAUGUGAUCCCGUUUUUGUAAAACAAAUAAAAACGUCCUGAAUGUGUA